GGCCCAACUGACUUGAGUGAACGAAAGACAGAGAAGGGUUUUAGAUCAAGCCUUCCCCAGCCGAUUCACGCGUCAGAGGAGUCGACAUACCUGAUAGACCUGAUAUGGAAAACUCGAUCACCUUCCAACCUAUCGUCCCCUCUGCGCUCUCGACAGGUUGAUUCUGGGUCUUUACUAGCCCUUAGAUCUCCUUCUCUGAGUACUGCUGCCGCAUCAAUGGAGACGCUGCUACCGGGGUUAACAGACGGUUCAGCUGGUGCUAUAAAAGCCAGCAAUUCAUCGGAUGGAGCUAGCAAUGGUGCUGUGAAGGGAGCACUUGACCUGCUUAUUGAGAGGCUACAGAAGGAACUGGACCAAGUCAACCAGAUUAUCGACGACAGUGAUGAGCCUGUAGAGUCAACGGGAAUAGGAACCUAUCUGUUGAGCCGAAAGAAGC
RNAcentral lists this small RNA (436 nucleotides) under Histoplasma capsulatum var. duboisii H88. RNAcentral describes it as "Histoplasma capsulatum H88 hypothetical RNA". The record is from RNAcentral. Lineage: Eukaryota; Fungi; Ascomycota; Eurotiomycetes; Onygenales; Ajellomycetaceae.